CUUGUAAAUGAGCCCAGAGCUGACUCUUGUGACCUCACCAAGGGCAUCUCAGUCUUCUUUAUGAACACAUCCAUUGGGCCUGCCCGGUGUUGCUUGGGCUCACCUGCUUCUCCCAGCCAUCGUGUGCUGCAGCCCCUCUGUUGACAGACUUUCUUUGCAUCAGUUAAGGUGUUCAGCGUGACAGACGGGUUAAGAUCAACUCCAUUUUUCAGUGGCUCAAAACCACCUGUGGGAGGUCAGAAGUAAUGCAUCCAGCAGAGCGCAUCUGUGAUCCAGAAGUCAGAUCUGUCUGCACCCCCACA
This is a non-coding RNA of Coturnix japonica (Japanese quail), 302 nucleotides long. NCBI's taxonomy places the organism in Eukaryota, Metazoa, Chordata, Aves, Galliformes, Phasianidae. The record is from RefSeq and is a predicted model, not a curated record.